This 432-nucleotide ribosomal RNA is filed under the name Listeria monocytogenes. Its description in RNAcentral is "bacterial SSU rRNA". It matches the Rfam family "Bacterial small subunit ribosomal RNA", at positions 1108 to 1533 of the family's 1533-position model. RNAcentral also lists the same sequence under 1 other name. Lineage: Bacteria; Bacillati; Bacillota; Bacilli; Caryophanales; Listeriaceae. The record is from RNAcentral.
AUUUUAGUUGCCAGCAUUUAGUUGGGCACUCUAAAGUGACUGCCGGUGCAAGCCGGAGGAAGGUGGGGAUGACGUCAAAUCAUCAUGCCCCUUAUGACCUGGGCUACACACGUGCUACAAUGGAUAGUACAAAGGGUCGCGAAGCCGCGAGGUGGAGCUAAUCCCAUAAAACUAUUCUCAGUUCGGAUUGUAGGCUGCAACUCGCCUACAUGAAGCCGGAAUCGCUAGUAAUCGUGGAUCAGCAUGCCACGGUGAAUACGUUCCCGGGCCUUGUACACACCGCCCGUCACACCACGAGAGUUUGUAACACCCGAAGUCGGUAGGGUAACCUUUAUGGAGCCAGCCGCCGAAGGUGGGACAGAUAAUUGGGGUGAAGUCGUAACAAGGUAGCCGUAUCGGAAGGUGCGGCUGGAUCACCUCCUUUCUAAGGAA